AAAAAUUCAAUUUUAGGAGUGAAAAUCAGCAACUGAACUUAAAGAAAGUAAGCUGAAACGAUGAGGUUUAGAAGUGAAUUUUAGGGAGCAAACUUUUAAAAAAGUAUAAGUCAUCUUUAUAGUUCGUUUCUGGGUUCUUCUCUAUGUUUUUGGGUUGUUUUUAACAUGGAUUUACGGCUAUUUUGCUACGUUUGCUGCUGCUUUUGUUGCUGAAAUUCAGUUCCUCCCUGCUGACAUUUUCUUUUAACUAUUCAGGUAAUUCCUUUAAUGUAUUGAAAUCUUUGAUCAAGGAUUAAUGCAAGUGAAGCAACUUGAGUCCAUCGAUGUAUUUUGAGCUUUCUUUUUUCGAAGAAAAUGUUCUGCCCGGACUGCUUUAAAUAUCCUUUAAGUUGACAUGGAAUAAAUGUUCAAUUGUUCGGAUCCAUCAGAUUUUCAACUUAUGAAUUUGUUUGCUUUCAUGUACCAAUAAUAGAUGUGUAGAAGGUUUUUGUGAUAAUU
Molecule: long non-coding RNA, 498 nt
Filed under: Nicotiana benthamiana
Lineage: Eukaryota; Viridiplantae; Streptophyta; Magnoliopsida; Solanales; Solanaceae
Description: long non-coding RNA (NBEN_LNC041400)
Source: RNAcentral